UGACCUCUCCGGGUUCCAUAUGGCAUUACUCUGGAGCCCAGGCUAGCUUUCCUUCUGAACUUACUGGGAGUAUUACAAGCUUGAGUCACUCCAUGCUGGCUCUUUCUGAGUCUUGCUGCCCUCCAAGAAGUCAAGGCUCGACCAAAAUCUCUAGGAUCUAGAUUUGAUGUCCUCUGCCCAGCGUCCCUGCCGUCCCCUCCCCUCCUCCAGCCUGUGUGAAGUGGGGCUGGUGGCUCAGGCAAGCUGGGGCCAGGCCUGCUGCCCAUUCCGUGAACUUGCUGGACACCACGUUGUCAAGCCCCUGACUUAUCUGCCAGUGUGGAAUGGGGUGGAAUCAGCCUCUACUUUGAUCUUCAGUGUCUGCCGGGACUUCUGAUUGCUUCACAUCCUUGCUAGCUCUGGAUCCUUCAGAUCUGUCAAUGCUAAGCAGAUGAAGAUGCCUGCCGCCGAGGCCGGGGACCAGAGUUUGAUUCCUGGAACUUCUAUGACAGAAGAAGUGAAUGGACUCCUGGAAGCUAUCUUUUGACAUCACAUGCACUUUGUGUUCUCUAACCAUCUCCACCCAUUAAAUAAACAUUAAAUAAAAAUCUCAAGCAGCAACACA
Molecule: long non-coding RNA, 604 nt
Organism: Mastomys coucha (southern multimammate mouse)
Lineage: Eukaryota; Metazoa; Chordata; Mammalia; Rodentia; Muridae
Exons: 3
Source: RefSeq, a predicted model, not a curated record